This 400-nucleotide ribosomal RNA is filed under the name uncultured bacterium. Its description in RNAcentral is "bacterial SSU rRNA". It matches the Rfam family "Bacterial small subunit ribosomal RNA", at positions 355 to 752 of the family's 1533-position model. The record is from RNAcentral.
UAAGGAAUAUUGGGCAAUGGAGGCAACUCUGACCCAGCCAUCCCGCGUGAAGGAUGACGGCCCUAUGGGUUGUAAACUUCUUUUGUUUGGGAAGAAAUCAGGACAUUCAUGUGCUGUUGACGGUACCUUACGAAUAAGCACCGGCUAACUCCGUGCCAGCAGCCGCGGUAAUACGGAGGGUGCAAGCGUUAUCCGGAAUCACUGGGUUUAAAGGGUGCGUAGGCGGCUAAAUAAGUCAGAGGUGAAAGCUGGCAGCUCAACUGUCAAACUGCCUUUGAUACUGUUUGGCUUGAAUCAGGUUAAGGUAGGCAGAAUGUGGCAUGUAGCGGUGAAAUGCAUAGAUAUGCCAUAGAAUACCAAUUGCGAAGGCAGCUUGCUGGGCCUGAAUUGACGCUGAGGC